GCCUCUGUAGCUCAGUGGAUUAGAGCGUUUGGUUGCGGACCAAAAGGUCGCGUGUUCGAGUCGCGCCAGAGGCGCCA
This 77-nucleotide transfer RNA is filed under the name Pseudomonadota bacterium. Its description in RNAcentral is "tRNA-Arg". It matches the Rfam family "tRNA". From Rfam's summary of the family: Transfer RNA (tRNA) molecules are approximately 80 nucleotides in length. Their secondary structure includes four short double-helical elements and three loops (D, anti-codon, and T loops). Further hydrogen bonds mediate the characteristic L-shaped molecular structure. tRNAs have two regions of fundamental functional importance: the anti-codon, which is responsible for specific mRNA codon recognition, and the 3' end, to which the tRNAs corresponding amino acid is attached (by aminoacyl-tRNA synthetases). tRNAs cope with the degeneracy of the genetic code in two manners: having more than one tRNA (with a specific anti-codon) for a particular amino acid; and 'wobble' base-pairing, i.e. permitting non-standard base-pairing at the 3rd anti-codon position. RNAcentral also lists the same sequence under 8 other names. The record is from RNAcentral. Lineage: Bacteria; Pseudomonadati; Pseudomonadota.